CACCUGCCACUGGUCGAUCUCGUUGACGUCAUAGAGCAUGCGGCCGAUCAUGACAUAGAGCCACUUGCACACGACAACGCGCUCCUCGCCAGGCGCCCCCAGUUCCUGGUAGUCGAGCACCUGCUGAAAGUAGGGCGUCUCAAUGUCAUGGUACCAGUCGUCGGCCACGUCGGCAAACUGCUCGGGAAAGGGCAUGUCGAAAAACUUGCACGCCAUAACAUGCCGGUCGAUGUGGUUGCGCACGCCCGUCGUCGGGUCGACAUAGGGCGUGUAGGCCAGCGUGUAGCAGUCAUAGAGGCCCGUCGUAAAGGCAAACACGCGGCGAUCGGGCACGAGGUCGGGAAACUCGAUGUCGCUGCACCUUUCCAGUUGGGUCACGGCGUUCUUGGCGGCGCCGUUGGCGUUGAGGUUGCGCCACUGCUCCCAGUGGACCUCCUUCUUGGUCACCUUGUAGAUAAACUGCUCAAUGGUGCACACCUGGCGCCACGCGUGCGUCUCGUACUUGGUCCUUUCGGCGCCUGCCGGCAGCGGCCGCCCGGCGGCGGCGGCCUCGGCUCUGAGGGCGUCGAGUUCGUUGGGCGGCGUCGGACCCUCGAUCAGGAUCUGCUCGUAGCAGCAGCCCUUGUAGCGCCGGUAGCCGUGGGACGCCAGUUGGCGCAGGAGAAAGAGCACGAGGCUCUCGUUGGGCUUGAGGUCGGUGAGGCUCAUUGUCGUGAGGCGAAAGAUGGUCGAGUCGAGCGAGGCCGCCACGUUGAGGUUGUCGUCGCGGGCGUUGAUCACGCGCGCCCGGCUCUCCACGCCAUAGUAGGCAUACUGGAUCGACUCAAAGAUGCGAAAGAACACGUUGCUGCACUGGAUGUUGACCUCGUUGUGCGAGUUGAUGCGCCCGCGCACGGCAAAGAGCGACAUCAGGUAGGACACGCGGUGGAUCGAGUCGCGCGUGCGCUCCGCCACCGUGGCGAGGUCGAUCUGCGCGUGCGGGUCCACGUGGAAGCGCUCGCAGGCCCAGGCCAUAAAGUCGCCGUCGCGGUCCGGCGGGAUGCGCCACUCGGCAAAGGCCAUGCCCAAGAGGUCGUUCAACUCGUCGUCGGUGUACGAGUCGGCGCGCUCGACCUCAAACGGCAGCGGCGCGUCGUAGCCGCCGGUGAAAAUGCGGUCCAGCGUGACGGCCUCGGGCCGGCGCCUCGCGCUGUCGGCGGCGUCGCGCUGGAGCCGCGACUGGGCCUCGCGUCGCUCGGCGACGCUCAAGCGGAGGGUGUCUAUGCCGGCGGUGCCGACAGUCGCAGGCUCCAAAGGCGCCGAUGUUGUCGAGUCGUGUGAGGUGGCCAUCGAGAACAAAAAGGAAUGGAGAGCCUGAUGGAAAAGGGAUCGUAUUAGUGUCGGCGACGUGUAGCGUGCCGCCGCGCGCACACGCACACACAAAAGGCCGCCUUGUUGUGGCACCAAAAAAGCAAAGGCAGACAGGGGUCGAUGCGGCGACUGCGCGCACUAUGACCAAAAGCGGCCGUUCAAGGACAGACCGCAACAAGAGAGGAAAAAAAAAGACAGGAGCGGCCUCGUGUGCAAUGCCACAACAGUGCCAUGUUUAAAAACGAUGGUAAUGGAAAAGUAUAAAAAAAAGAUGGGCGGUGGCGGCAAGAUGGGAUGGCCCACAGAGAGGGCGUUCGACCCGACACUGCCAUCACACACAAACCUCGAUGGCACAAAGCCCCCCAUUUUUUGAAAAAAGAACGGGAAAAAGAGAAACAAAAAAGACCCAAAAGGACAGGUUGCCCUGGCGAAAAAGGUGGUGGGCCAAGGGCACACAUGUGCCCCCAGUAGUGCACCGGCAAUAUGUGGGCAAUGCAGAGC
Molecule: long non-coding RNA, 1851 nt
Filed under: Pandoravirus quercus
Description: hypothetical ncRNA
Source: RNAcentral